AACUGCAGUCAGACCACCAUCUAGUCUGCUGUGAUUUGUUCAGAUCUUACAAGCUAAGGAGGGAUAGGGACGGGGUUGGUACUUGAAUGGGAAACCUCCAAGGAACAUCUAGCCGCUGCUGCUG
This 124-nucleotide ribosomal RNA is filed under the name Gopherus agassizii (Agassiz's desert tortoise). The record is from RNAcentral. Lineage: Eukaryota; Metazoa; Chordata; Testudines; Testudinidae.